UACGUAGGGGGCAAGCGUUGUCCGGAUUUAUUGGGCGUAAAGAGCGUGUAGGCGGCCUGAAAGGUCAGCUGUGAAAACUCGAGGCUCAACCUCGAGACGUCGGUUGAAACCAUCUGGCUAGAGUCCGGAAGAGGAGUGUGGAAUUCCCGGUGUAGCGGUGAGAUGCGCAGAUAUCGGGAAGAACACCCGUGGCGAAGGCGGCACUCUGGGACGGUACUGACGCUGAGACGCGAAAGCGUGGGGAGCGAACAGG
RNAcentral lists this ribosomal RNA (253 nucleotides) under uncultured bacterium. Its description in RNAcentral is "partial 16S ribosomal RNA". It matches the Rfam family "Bacterial small subunit ribosomal RNA", at positions 524 to 776 of the family's 1533-position model. The record is from RNAcentral.